Molecule: small nucleolar RNA, 106 nt
Organism: Cornus florida
Lineage: Eukaryota; Viridiplantae; Streptophyta; Magnoliopsida; Cornales; Cornaceae
Source: RefSeq, a predicted model, not a curated record
AAGUCAUGAUGAAGACACUUCCUUAACCAAUCAUUCAAUUUCUCCCAAGCCUCAUGAAAUGGCUCUCCAUCAUUUUGAGAGAAUCCUAAUAUGGCCGUUUUUAUUU